CGUGAAGGAUGAAGGUCCUCUGGAUUGUAACCUUCGUUUUACAGGGGAAGAAAUCACCGCAUUCUUGUGGUGUUGACGGUACCCUGGGAAUAAGCACCGGCUAACUCCGUGCCAGCAGCCGCGGUAAUACGGAGGGUGCAAGCGUUAUCCGGAUUCACUGGGUUUAAAGGGUGCGUAGGAGGGUAGGUAAGUCAGUGGUGAAAUCUCCGGGCUCAACUCGGAAACUGCCGUUGAUACUAUCUGUCUUGAAUCCCGUGGAGAUGAGCGGAAUAUGUCAUGUAGCGGUGAAAUGCUUAGAUAUGACAUAGAACACCAAUUGCGAAGGCAGCUCGUUACACGAAGAUUGACUCUGAGGCACGAAAGCGUGGGGAUCAAACAGGAUUAGAUACCCUGGUAGUCCACGCCCUAAACUAUGGAUACUCGACAUACGCGAUACACCGUGUGUGUCUGAGCGAAAGCAUUAAGUAUCCCACCUGGGAAGUACGACCGCAAGGUUG
Molecule: ribosomal RNA, 497 nt
Filed under: uncultured Bacteroidota bacterium
Lineage: Bacteria; Pseudomonadati; Bacteroidota
Description: bacterial SSU rRNA
Rfam family: Bacterial small subunit ribosomal RNA
Source: RNAcentral